RNAcentral lists this unclassified non-coding RNA (297 nucleotides) under rhizosphere metagenome. Its description in RNAcentral is "partial ribosomal RNA internal transcribed spacer region". The record is from RNAcentral.
GUAGGUGAACCUGCGGAAGGAUCAUUAUUGAACGAACUUGGUGUGGUUGUAGCUGGCCCUCUCUCCGGGGGCAUGUGCACACCCGCCAUCUUUAUUUCUCCACCUGUGCACAUCUUGUAGACCUGGAUAGACUUUCCGAGGCAACUCGGUCGGGAGGACUGCUGUGCGUCACUGCCAGCUUUCCUUGCAUAUCUAGGCCUAUGUUUUCAUAUACCCCAUAGUAUGUAACAGAAUGUAUCAUUGGGCCUCGUGCCUAUAAACUAUAUACAACUUUCAGCAACGGAUCUCUUGGCUCUC